GUCGUGUUAAAUCAACCAUAGCAGUAAGUGUAAGGGGGAACAUCAUAUAAAAUAGAAAUUAAACAUUAUAAAACAAUGAAUUUAAUUCCUGUAAAUACAUGUAUCAUUUCAAAAUUUCAUAAAAUAUACAAACAAGUUCCAUAUGACUUGGGAAGUAUAAUUUGAAAGGCAUAUCAAUACAAUAUAUUUUAACCUUUAAAAAAUAUAAAAUUAUUUGUACUGGCUUCAAAAUUGAGGAAAGGCAAUGUCUGCUUCUUAACUUUGUACAUUGUGUGUGUAUCUAUUUGUUAAACUGUUUUUUAGAGAUGUUGUGCAAAUACUAAACUCUGUAGAAAUCAAGUUUUAUGUUAAAAGAAAAUAUGCAACCUAGGAUUUUACUAAAUAUUUUCUGGACUUUUAAAUGAAUAAAAAAAUAUAGUAUUAUG
Molecule: long non-coding RNA, 425 nt
Filed under: Mytilus galloprovincialis (Mediterranean mussel)
Lineage: Eukaryota; Metazoa; Mollusca; Bivalvia; Mytilida; Mytilidae
Source: RNAcentral